Molecule: ribosomal RNA, 819 nt
Filed under: uncultured bacterium
Lineage: Bacteria
Description: bacterial SSU rRNA
Rfam family: Bacterial small subunit ribosomal RNA
Source: RNAcentral
AGAGUUUGAUCCUGGCUCAGGACGAACGCUGGCGGCGUGCCUAAUACAUGCAAGUAGAACGCUGAAGGAGGAGCUUGCUUCUCCGGAUGAGUUGCGAACGGGUGAGUAACGCGUAGGUAACCUGCCUGGUAGCGGGGGAUAACUAUUGGAAACGAUAGCUAAUACCGCAUAAGAGUAGAUGUUGCAUGACAUUUGCUUAAAAGGUGCAAUUGCAUCACUACCGGAUGGACCUGCGUUGUAUUAGCUAGUUGGUGGGGUAACGGCUCACCAAGGCGACGAUACAUAGCCGACCUGAGAGGGUGAUCGGCCACAACUGGGACUGAGACACGACCCAGACUCCUACGGGAGGCAGCAGUAGGGAAUCUUCGGCAAUGGACGGAAGUCUGACCGAGCAACGCCGCGUGAGUGAAGAAGGUUUUCGGAUCGUAAAGCUCUGUUGUAAGAGAAGAACGAGUGUGAGAGUGGAAAGUUCACACUGUGACGGUAUCUUACCAGAAAGGGACGGCUAACUACGUGCCAGCAGCCGCGGUAAUACGUAGGUCCCGAGCGUUGUCCGGAUUUAUUGGGCGUAAAGCGAGCGCAGGCGGUUAGAUAAGUCUGAAGUUAAAGGCUGUGGCUUAACCAUAGUACGCUUUGGAAACUGUUUAACUUGAGUGCAAGAGGGGAGAGUGGAAUUCCAUGUGUAGCGGUGAAAUGCGUAGAUAUAUGGAGGAACACCGGUGGCGAAAGCGGCUCUCUGGCUUGUAACUGACGCUGAGGCUCGAAAGCGUGGGGAGCAAACAGGAUUAGAUACCCUGGUAGUCCACGCCGUAAACGAUG